ACUGAAGGUAAAAUAUAAUACGCUUGAGUAGUAAUAAGUUAUAAGCUCGAAACUUAAAAGAUUUGGCGGUAUUUAAGUCUAGUUAGAGGAACCUGCUUUAUAAACGAUAUGCCACGAAUUAUCUUACUUUAUUUUGUAUUCAAUUUGUAUACCUCCAUUUUUAAAUAAUAUUUUGAAGUAUUUUUUUAAAUAGAAAAAUUUCUAGUUUAUUAGGUCAAGGUGCAGUUUAUAGUAAAGUAAAUGUGGGUUACAUUAUAUUAUAUUAUUUAUGGAUAAAUGUAUGUAAUUAUAUUUUGAAAUUGGAUUUAAUAGUAUUUUUGAAUUAAUAAGUCAAGAUGAUAAUAGCUCUUUAAUAUGU
Molecule: ribosomal RNA, 358 nt
Filed under: Palaemon macrodactylus
Lineage: Eukaryota; Metazoa; Arthropoda; Malacostraca; Decapoda; Palaemonidae
Description: partial 12S ribosomal RNA
Source: RNAcentral